GUGUCAGCAGCCGCGGUAAGACGUAGGAUGCAAGCGUUGUCCGGAUUUAUUGGGCGUAAAGAGUUCGUAGGUGGCAUAUCAAGUCUGGUGUUAAAGUCCGGAGCUCAACUCCGGGAGAGCCCUGGAUACUGAUAAGCUGGAGUGCAGAAGAGGCAAGAGGAAUUCCCAGUGUAGCGGUGAAAUGCGUAGAUAUUGGGAGGAACACCGGCGGCGUAAGCGUCUUGCUGGUCUGUUACUGACGCUGAGGAACGAAAGCCAGGGGAGCAAAUGGGAUUAGAUACCCUCGUAGUCC
RNAcentral lists this ribosomal RNA (292 nucleotides) under uncultured bacterium. RNAcentral describes it as "partial 16S ribosomal RNA". It matches the Rfam family "Bacterial small subunit ribosomal RNA", at positions 505 to 796 of the family's 1533-position model. The record is from RNAcentral.